This is a long non-coding RNA of Megalobrama amblycephala (Wuchang bream), 1145 nucleotides long. RefSeq lists it as uncharacterized. NCBI's taxonomy places the organism in Eukaryota, Metazoa, Chordata, Actinopteri, Cypriniformes, Xenocyprididae. The record is from RefSeq and is a predicted model, not a curated record. The transcript has 3 exons.
UUAAAAAAUAAAUUGCAUUAAAUGAACACAUGCAAAAAUAUUUUAGCCAAAAAAUUAAUAAAAAUAAUUUUAGUAUUGUCUAAUGUAAAUGUACAUAUAGGCCUAUAGGCUGUAAGUAGGCUAACUAUAAAGCUGAGUCAUGAACACAUUAGUAAAUUACAAAAACACCCUUGGUGAUCAAAUGUAAUAGCCUAGCCUAUAUAAAACGCAAUGAAUUGUGAUAUGCAUGUAUAGGCUAUGCCACGCCGCCAUGUCAGGAAUCACUUGAUGACGUACUGGCGUAAAAGAAUUGAACAGACUCUUUAACACGAACUGUUCGAAAGAACCGAUUCGCGAAAAUGAACCGGACUGAGCAUCACUAAUGCACAGUGGCAGGUGGGAGGUGAUGAUUUACUCGUCGCCUAUUGGCUGGAAUUGAGGCUUUGGUUUGUAAGAGGGUUCGGAUAGGUCAACUGGUUUAUGCCUUUGCGGAAUGUGUGUAGUAUGUUAGAAACUUCCAGACAGCCGUGUGUGUGAACUGAGAGAUGUUUCUAAGAAGUUGAGGACACUUACAUUUGUAUUGCCUGUGAAUAGGAACUUUUACCUCAGUUUCAGCAGCCUGGUCACAUGCCGUGUUACUUUUGGAAAAAGUUGGUCUGCGUUUGGGAGGCAGUACACAAAUGCCCCCAAAAUUUAACAAAUCACCCCCUCCCCAAUCAACCCUCCACACACAUGGUCAUACAUGCCUCCCAGGCAAAUGCGCUCUGAUUUUAGUUGUGCACCUCCUCCUCGACGCCACAUCGCCCUCUAAAAACAGACCCGGAGCAGUUCGCAAGCUGAGCUCCAGCAUAAACACAAGGUUACCUGCUGCUCAUACAAAUAGGACACAGUGUGCAUGACAAGCUGUUUUAACAUUUAUGCCUUAAAACUAACUAGUGUCUACUGUUGUUACCAGUACUAUUUUUAACUACUAAAAAGUGAUUCUUUUUCAAUUUUAUUAGGUAGACUACUAGUACAUAUUCAUCACAGUUACUAUUCAAUUCUAUGGAGAUCUGUUGUUCAAAUAUUAACAUUCAGUUCAGACUUGAUAUGUAUUUCAAUGCACUGAAAAAUAUGUUUUAGAAACAAUUCAGAAAUUGUUAUAACAUUUCACAAAUAAUUACAAA